UGGGUAUCACUGGACUAUCACGUACUGCAGGAGGAAGAUACAGGCGGCCAGUGUCUUCUCUGGUUUCUGGGUUGGUGACUUUGAAGUUGCUACAGCUCCCACGCCCUCAGCGAGCAGAGUUGCCAAGCAAGUGUGCCGGCUUCCAGAAGCCUGAGCUGCCCAUUGGCGCUGGGGAACCACCCCGGUGUCCCCAUCCUCUGCGCUGCUGCAGAUUGGUGGGGCAGCCCGGGGAGGCUGGCUCCGAGACGUGACUGAGCGUGCCUACACUGGUCCCACAGGUUUUCAGCUGUGGAGUUUGGGAUCUGAGCUUGGAGCCCAUUUGUUUCUGGCAGUUCGGUUCAUAUUUUCCACUUGAAGACAUCACUUCCCUUCCUUCCAAGCUGGGAGACCAGAAGUCAACAACAGGAGGGUGGAGAGGCCAGAUCUCACAAUCCGCUUGGCUGCGGAGUCCGCUGAGGUUCUUGCAUCCUGAAGUAAACUAUGGAGAGCUGGUGGGGACUUCCUUGUCUUGCGUUCCUGUGUUUUCUAAUGCACGCCCGAGGUCAAAGAGACUUUGACUUGGCGGACGCCCUUGAUGACCCUGAGGAAGACUCCAUUGGGCUUUAGCAUUGGGAACAACUGGUCGACCAGGACAGUUACAUAAUGGUGUUUGUUGGAGGAAGAGAGAAUGAUAACCACAUCUGAUCCUAAAAAGCCGACAACAAGACAGUAGGAACUCAUCUCUCUCCCAGUUUUCUGCGCACAGUGAUGUUUUUGCUAAUAAUGAUCCCACAAAGCAGAUACAAAAUUGUUGUCAGUGCAAGAGGAAAAUGUAAUGACCCACCCCAACAUGAAGAUGCCGUUUCUCCCAUCAAGUUAGAAAUGAUGAAGGUUGAAUCCUACCCUGUCAACGCAGACUGAGGGGUGGGAGUUGGAGGCAGGUGUGUGGUUGCAACCACUUUGGAAGCAUUGGGAGAUUUUCUCCAAAAUUCAGAACGAGUGUGUAACACCAGCAUUUGGUUUGGACAAAGAAUGAGGCAUAGCUGCAAGAGAACCCUGUGCAAUAGUGAAGGAGGGGCUGGCUGGUAGGCUCAGAUACAGAACAAGACAUGUUACUGAUCUGGAAGAUCACUGACAUGUGAUCCAGGAGUUCCACUCCUAGGCAGGUACCCAGGAGAAUUGGGAGCAGGGACUCAAACAGCUAUUUGUGGACCCAUGUUGACAGCAGCAAUCUUCACAAUAAGCCAAAGGUGGAAACAGCACAACUGUCCAUCAGGAGAUGAAUGAAUGAACACAAUGUGGUCCCUCCAUGCAACAGAAUAUUAUUUGGCUGUAAAAAGGAAGAGGGGUUCUGAUACAUGCUACACGCGCUUUGAAAAUGUGCUCAGUGAAAGAAGCCAGGCACAAAAGGCCACAGGGUGUAGGAUCCCAUUAAUGUGAAAUAUCCAGAACAGGCAAAUUCAGAGAGACAGAAAGUGGCUUAGCGAUUGUUGGGCUGGAAGAGGGGAGAAAAGGGAGGGACUGCUCGUGGUUAUGGGGUCUCCUUUUGGGGGGAUGAAACUGUUCUGGAACAGAUAGAGGUGGUGAUUGUACAGUAUUGUGAAGAUAUGAAACACCAUUGAAUUGUACACUUUAAAAUGUCAAAUUUUAUGAUACGUGAGUUUCAUGUUGAUUUUUUAAAAAUCACAGAAAUAAACUUCCUUUCCAC
Molecule: long non-coding RNA, 1687 nt
Organism: Rhinopithecus roxellana (golden snub-nosed monkey)
Lineage: Eukaryota; Metazoa; Chordata; Mammalia; Primates; Cercopithecidae
Source: Ensembl